RNAcentral lists this ribosomal RNA (468 nucleotides) under uncultured bacterium. RNAcentral's name for it is "partial 16S ribosomal RNA". It matches the Rfam family "Bacterial small subunit ribosomal RNA", at positions 28 to 507 of the family's 1533-position model. The record is from RNAcentral.
GACGAACGCUGGCGGCGUGCUUAACACAUGCAAGUCGAACGGAAAGGCCCUGCUUGUGUGGGGUGCUCGAGUGGCGAACGGGUGAGUAACACGUGAGUAACCUGCCCUUGACUUUGGGAUAACUUCAGGAAACUGGGGCUAAUACCGGAUAGGAGCUCCUGCUGCAUGGAGGGGGUUGGAAAGUUUCGGCGGUUGGGGAUGGACUCGCGGCUUAUCAGCUUGUUGGUGGGGUAGUGGCUGACCAAGGCUUUGACCGGUAGCCGGCCUGAGAGGGGGGACAGCCUCAUUGGUACUGCGAGACGGCGCAGACUCCUACGGGAGGCAGCAGGCGGGAAUAUUGCACAAUGGGCGGGAGCCUGAUGCAGCAGCGCCGCGUGCGGGAUGACGGCCUUCGGGUUGUAAACCGCUUUCGCCUGUGACGAAGCGUGAGUGACGGUAAUGAAUAAAGAAGCACCGGCUAACUACGUG